GACAGAAUAGUUAACUAGGCCUUAACAUUUCUCUUAACCCUGAACAUUCUACCUAGGCCUUAACAGUAUUGAAGUUUCUAAUUAAGCUAAACACACCUUGUCUUUAAAGACUCAGGUUCCUGGGUGUGGGCUAAAAGGGAGAAAAUACUGAGCAUCGAUACUUACAGAGCUUUUGUUGUGAUCAAACUUGGAAACAAACCAGAUGUCCAGUGAUGGGCAAAGGAAUAAACGGUUACAUGAGGCAUGGUAACUUUAGAAGAGGAAAAAUAUGCAUCCGUCUCCCAGGAACUACAUUUCCAGUUAUCUCUGGAAAGAAGCUCUUUUACAGUCGCAACACAAAUCACAGCCAGGAUUCAGAGACGAUUCUACAAGCAUUUUCUUGGAAGUCCCAUUGGUUGAAUUUCGGCAGGUAAUGGUCUGUAAAAGGAAAGCCAAUUUGCCCCUCGAUGAAGAUUACUGUACCAAAUGUACCAGAGAGCUUUAGAAAAUGUGACACGCUUUCUCUUCAACAGUGAAAGAGUCGAUUAGUUUCCUAGCUUUUCCUUUUGUG
This 550-nucleotide long non-coding RNA is filed under the name Rattus norvegicus (Norway rat). RNAcentral describes it as "long non-coding RNA NONRATT032103". Lineage: Eukaryota; Metazoa; Chordata; Mammalia; Rodentia; Muridae. The record is from RNAcentral.